This 253-nucleotide ribosomal RNA is filed under the name uncultured bacterium. RNAcentral's name for it is "partial 16S ribosomal RNA". It matches the Rfam family "Bacterial small subunit ribosomal RNA", at positions 524 to 776 of the family's 1533-position model. The record is from RNAcentral.
UACGAAGGGGGCUAGCGUUGCUCGGAAUCACUGGGCGUAAAGGGUGCGUAGGCGGGUCUUUAAGUCAGGGGUGAAAUCCUGGAGCUCAACUCCAGAAUUGCCUUUGAUACUGAAGAUCUUGAGUUCGGGAGAGGUGAGUGGAACUGCGAGUGUAGAGGUGAAAUUCGUAGAUAUUCGCAAGAACACCAGUGGCGAAGGCGGCUCACUGGCUCGGUACUGACGCUGAGACGCGAAAGCGUGGGGAGCAAACAGG